This 305-nucleotide ribosomal RNA is filed under the name uncultured bacterium. RNAcentral's name for it is "bacterial SSU rRNA". It matches the Rfam family "Bacterial small subunit ribosomal RNA", at positions 333 to 636 of the family's 1533-position model. The record is from RNAcentral.
CGGUGCCUACGGGAGGCAGCAGUGAGGAAUAUUGGUCAAUGGGAGAGAUCCUGAACCAGCCAAGCCGCGUGAGGGAAGACGGCCCUAUGGGUUGUAAACCUCUUUUGUCGGAGAACAAAACCCGGGACGUGUCCCGGACUGCGUGUAUCCGAAGAAAAAGCAUCGGCUAACUCCGUGCCAGCAGCCGCGGUAAUACGGAGGAUGCGAGCGUUAUCCGGAUUUAUUGGGUUUAAAGGGUGCGUAGGCGGUCCGUUAAGUCAGCGGUAAAAUUGCGGGGCUCAACCCCGUACUGCCGUUGAAACUGC